GAUGAACGCUAGCGAUAGGCUUAACACAUGCAAGUCGAGGGGCAGCAUGGUCUUAGCUUGCUAAGGCUGAUGGCGACCGGCGCACGGGUGCGUAACGCGUAUGCAACUUGCCUCACAGAGGGGGAUAACCCGUCGAAAGACGGACUAAUACCGCGUACACUCUAUGUUGGGCAUCCAAUGUAGAGGAAAUGAAAUUCGCUGUGAGAUAGGCAUGCGUCCCAUUAGCUAGUUGGUGAGGUAACGGCUCACCAAGGCGACGAUGGGUAGGGGAACUGAGAGGUUGAACCCCCACACUGGUACUGAGACACGGACCAGACUCCUACGGGAGGCAGCAGUGAGGAGUAUUGGUCAAUGGGCGAGAGCCUGAACCAGCCAAGUCGCGUGAAGGAUGACUGUCUUAUGGAUUGUAAACUUCUUUUAUACGGGAAUAACAAGAGUCACGUGUGGCUCCCUGCAUGUACCGUAUGAAUAAGCAUCGGCUAACUCCGUG
Molecule: ribosomal RNA, 490 nt
Filed under: uncultured bacterium
Lineage: Bacteria
Description: partial 16S ribosomal RNA
Rfam family: Bacterial small subunit ribosomal RNA
Source: RNAcentral